This 502-nucleotide ribosomal RNA is filed under the name uncultured bacterium. Its description in RNAcentral is "partial 16S ribosomal RNA". It matches the Rfam family "Bacterial small subunit ribosomal RNA", at positions 30 to 523 of the family's 1533-position model. The record is from RNAcentral.
AUUGAACGCUGGCGGCAUGCCUUACACAUGCAAGUCGAACGGCAGCACGGGUGCUUGCACCUGGUGGCGAGUGGCGAACGGGUGAGUAAUACAUCGGAACGUGCCCAGUCGUGGGGGAUAACUACGCGAAAGCGUAGCUAAUACCGCAUACGAUCUAAGGAUGACAGCGGGGGAUCGCAAGACCUCGCGCGAUUGGAGCGGCCGAUGGCAGAUAAGGUAGUUGGUGGGGUAAAGGCUUACCAAGCCUACGAUCUGUAGCUGGUCUGAGAGGACGACCAGCCACACUGGAACUGAGACACGGUCCAGACUCCUACGGGAGGCAGCAGUGGGGAAUUUUGGACAAUGGGCGCAAGCCUGAUCCAGCCAUGCCGCGUGCGGGAAGAAGGCCUUCGGGUUGUAAACCGCUUUUGUCAGGGAAGAAACGCUCUGGACUAAUACUCUGGGGUAAUGACGGUACCUGAAGAAUAAGCACCGGCUAACUACGUGCCAGCAGCCGCCGCUG